GGAAAGGCAACUCGGUCAUCCCUUCAGCUCCAAUGAUGAACUUUGUGCGUGCCCAGAUCAAGAAAGCAGCUGACGAGACCGAGACUAUUCUGGAAACAACCCCGGCUGGCAAAAGCGAUGGGGAAGGUGCACUUCGAGAAUUCAUUAAGGUUCACAUCUCCUUCAAACUAGCACUUAACAUUUGUUGGUACGUUCCAUGUCUCAUUCACUUGUACAUGUUGCAGCGCCAGGGCCAAAAGUUAAGGCGGCUAUCAAACCUUUUCGGUUGUCGUGUCACCUGAACGGUCUAGGUCGGCGACACCAUCAGAUCCCGCUUCGGGGCAGAGCCAUGGUGAACCUUUCACGGAUGAGGAUGUGGGUGGGGUCACCCAAGAGGUUGCUGAUGAUAUGACCUUGGGGACGUACCGGGCUCGGUCUGCAUACGAGUUGAAGCCUAGGAGGGGAA
This is a non-coding RNA of Aegilops tauschii subsp. strangulata, 445 nucleotides long. The record is from RefSeq and is a predicted model, not a curated record. Lineage: Eukaryota; Viridiplantae; Streptophyta; Magnoliopsida; Poales; Poaceae.